RNAcentral lists this transfer RNA (72 nucleotides) under Bos taurus (domestic cattle). It matches the Rfam family "tRNA". From Rfam's summary of the family: Transfer RNA (tRNA) molecules are approximately 80 nucleotides in length. Their secondary structure includes four short double-helical elements and three loops (D, anti-codon, and T loops). RNAcentral also lists the same sequence under 1 other name. The record is from Rfam by way of RNAcentral. Lineage: Eukaryota; Metazoa; Chordata; Mammalia; Artiodactyla; Bovidae.
UUUCUGAUAGCUCAGUUGGUAAAGAAUCUGCCUGCAAUGCAGAAGACCCCAGUUCGAUCCCUGGGUUGGGAA